RNAcentral lists this ribosomal RNA (427 nucleotides) under uncultured bacterium. RNAcentral's name for it is "partial 16S ribosomal RNA". It matches the Rfam family "Bacterial small subunit ribosomal RNA", at positions 355 to 774 of the family's 1533-position model. The record is from RNAcentral.
UGGGGAAUAUUGCACAAUGGGCGCAAGCCUGAUGCAGCCAUGCCGCGUGUAUGAAGAAGGCCUUCGGGUUGUAAAGUACUUUCAGCGAGGAGGAAGGCGGUAAGGUUAAUAACCUUAUCGAUUGACGUUACUCGCAGAAGAAGCACCGGCUAACUCCGUGCCAGCAGCCGCGGUAAUACGGAGGGUGCAAGCGUUAAUCGGAAUUACUGGGCGUAAAGCGCACGCAGGCGGUCUGUCAAGUCGGAUGUGAAAUCCCCGGGCUCAACCUGGGAACUGCAUCCGAAACUGGCAGGCUAGAGUCUUGUAGAGGGGGGUAGAAUUCCAGGUGUAGCGGUGAAAUGCGUAGAGAUCUGGAGGAAUACCGGUGGCGAAGGCGGCCCCCUGGACAAAGACUGACGCUCAGGUGCGAAAGCGUGGGGAGCAAACA